This 515-nucleotide ribosomal RNA is filed under the name uncultured bacterium. RNAcentral's name for it is "bacterial SSU rRNA". It matches the Rfam family "Bacterial small subunit ribosomal RNA", at positions 15 to 518 of the family's 1533-position model. The record is from RNAcentral.
GAUCCUGGCUUAGGAUGAACGCUGGCGGCAGGCUUAAUACAUGCAAGUCGAACGGUAAGGCCGAGCGUAGCAAUACGUGAGGUACACGAGUGGCGCACGGGUGCGUAACGCGUAUGCAAUCUGCCCCCGACCGGGACAAAACAGCUGGAAACGGCUGCUAAUAUCCCAUGGUCAUGAGAGACGGCAUCGUUUUUCAUGUAAAGAUUCAUUGGUCGGGGAUGAGCAUGCGUAUUAUUAGGUAGUUGGUGGGGUAACGGCCCACCAAGCCGACGAUGAUUAGGGGUUCUGAGAGGAUUAACCCCCACACUGGAACUGAGACACGGUCCAGACUCCUACGGGAGGCAGCAGUAGGGAAUAUUGGGCAAUGGAGGCAACUCUGACCCAGCCAUGCCGCCGUGAAGGAAGACGGCCCUAUGGGUUGUAAACUUCUUUUGCCGCAGAGUAAACCCGGUCACGUGUGGCCGGUUGAGAGUAUGCGGCGAAUAAGUAUCGGCUAACUCCGUGCCAGCCGCAGC